CCAGCAGCAGCCAAGGAAUCGAUAGCCUUUAAAUAAGUAAUUAGGGGAGCCGAAGACGUCGGCACAUCCAGGAGUGAGCAGGGGAACAUAAAUUCAUGACUCCCAGGCUCACUGGGCAAGGGCCUGGUUCUGUUUCUCGGUCAAGAAAUGUGACAGCGCCUGGGGGCAAUGAUGGUGGAGGAACAGGGAGCCAGUGUUGUAGAGUCUGUUUUCACUUUCCUGUCCUCUGUUUCUGGUGGCUUUUAGGAUAAGGAUCAAAAUCUUCUCCCAACCUAGAGAGGUAAAUCUGGAGCUGAAGCUGGCUCCGGUACAAUGUCAGCUUGUUUAUUCACUGGUUGUGUGACCUGAGACACACACCCUCUCUGUGCUCAGUUUCCCUAGCUGUAAAACGCCCCACCCCCAACCCCCAGCCCCCAAAUAAGGUCAUCAUGAGGUUUACAGACGUUCGUACCACAUGCAAAGCAUGCAGAGCAGUGUGGGCCGUGGUUAGCAUCCAGGGGCCUUUGUGACUAAGUCCCAACCCGAGGCUACAGCCUCACGGGUGUUACGCUCCCCAAGAAAGGGGUGAAGGGCCAUCGCAGGUGCCCGGGAAGCAAUCAUCUGCCGUUUUUCCCGUCCUCCUGCACCACCAUCACCCCCCCACCACCACCAGCCCCGCAGAAGUCGCAGAAAACAGCCAACAAGGGUGGCCGCUGAGUCCCACGGGGAUCACAAGGUUAUAAGAACAAAGGCUGCCACUUCCUCUCUCCCUGCGGUGCUGCCUGUGUGUGGACACCAUCUGAUGAGAAUGUAAUUCCUUUUAUGAUCCAGGAAGGUAUAAAAACGCAUAUAAACAACCACAUGUCAUCACUGGAGUUGGCCAUCACAUUUUUAUUGGUCUACAGCGUGUGUUUUUGUUAGCCUGACGUCUGUUAGAAACCAGGUUCUGAAACACUGUCCUCGUUUGGGUGCUGGAGACAAAUAGUAUCCAGAAGCCAUUCCCAGGCCUGGUCUCAGGGAAACAGUCCCCAGAGCAGGAGGGGGGGUGUGUGUGUGUGUGUGUGUGUGUGUGUGUGUGUGUGUGUGUGUGUGUGUGUGUGUGUGUGCAUGCGCGUGCACGCUUGCUCCUCCCUGGAGGUUCCCUGGUCCAGGCUCAGUGGAGGAAUCGGAGGCCCAGGGCAGGGCAGUGCUCUGUCCAGGAUCAUGGGACUGCUUGGUUUAGCACCAUUUUCUGAGCAUGUCAGGGAGCCCCAGCUGCUGCCGGAGCCAGCCCCCCAGUCUCGGGGGUGCCACGGAGCUGUCCUUCUAGCUUGUGUGGCAGAGAGCAUGGUGGAUGAUGGGUGGAUGGGCCUCCCUGCUUCGUGUGGCUCCACCCUCCCCUAAAGCCUCAUAAUCUUCUGCUUCCAGCUGAAUGGGGGAAGGAUCCGGAGGCUCGCAAGGUUUUAUGGAUUUUUAUGGAGAUGUUUGGGUAGGGCCUGGAAGUGGCUCAGCCACAUCUGUCCACAUCCCUCAGCGGAUCACUAGGUCAGGGUCGAUACCAAACUGCAAGGGAGGCUAGGAAAUGUAGCCCAGCUGGGUGCCUGCGAGGAAGACAAGGCAGACUGGUCUCAGUGCCCAGCCCCGAGCUGGAAGCUGCCUGGGCAGAGAUGCUGAGAUGGAGAUGCAGGCCCAUCAGUUUGAGGUUCCCAAUAAGGGCUGGUCUAGCACAUUAUCAAUCGCUAGAAGCCCAUGACUCCUCUCUAGAGAGACCUCACCCCAGGAUAAGCCUAAGCCUCCCGGGGUCCUUGCUACCUCGUGCCAAGUGGUGUCAGCCACCCUUGUUUCUAAAGGGUUACAGAGAAGUGGGGAGGCUGGGUUCAUUUCCUGAAAGGCCCUAUUCUCUGCCUCAGGCCAGCAGAAUUUCCUUUCAGGGGGAGGCAGGGGCCUCUCUCCCCAGGGUUACCUGUCGCCUCACACCCCCACAGGGCUGGGCUCUCAACAAAACAGCCUGGAGGGAGGACCAGCACCUCAGUUCACACACACACACACACACACACACACACACACACUCACGCAUACACACAAAUGCGCCCAUGCACACACACAUCUCAGAACCAGCUAUAGCCGACAUCUGCCGCUUUGGUUAACGAGUAUCUGUUUGGGGGAUCCCAAGGUCUGUUUGGAGGACCCCCCUCCCACCACAGACACAGACUGCAGCACGUAUUCUGCACCCCCACCAACUAGAAUGUGGACAUGGGGCCUAAAGUGUGGCCAACUGGACACGCCCUCCUGGGACUUCCACUCCAUAGGGUGACACAGAGGCCUGGCAUCCAUCAGACCUUUAAAGGGCGCUGCAGCUGAAGGGCACCUCUCCAGCUGCCAGCAGGGGCCAUGGUGACCAGCUGGCAGGUGGCGGGCUCUGGCGUGGCACCUUGGCUGGGCCUUCACGCUCGGGUUCCCGUCAAGCCUGUUUCUCCAGUCCCCUGUCAACUGCCUGCGCCACCUGAAGCUCUCCCAGACGCCUCUUUCAGGUGAGCCCCGCCUCCUGCAGCCUUGGCCUUGCACCUGCUCACCCACCCCCUCCCGCCAAGGAUUUCCUUGGCUGCCGGCUUCAGCCGGGCUGUCCCAGACCCCAGGCAAGUCUGACAGCUUCCGCCCUCCAGGGAAAGGCCAGGGUUCCCACCUCUUUCCUCCAGGGGAUUCUGCAGCAAAUUUCAAAUUAAGUUGCGUUUUCACACUCCUGCAGAGUUCAGCGUUCUCAGGAGGGCUGUGGUAGAACCAAGGUAAUUGGCAUUCUUAGUAAUCCCAUGUGCACCUCAAAGCAUUCUUCUGAAAAGAAGCCCACCCUCCACUUGAUGCCCAAGGGGUCCAGGACAGCAGGACCCCUCUGGAUUGUAGCCCCCAGGCUGUUGGUGCCAGGAUUCCUUACUCAACAACAUGGGCCCUUUGCCUGAUGACAGCCCCCCUGGCUUGACCCAUCCUCCCUUCACUGUUUCUUCCGGAAAAAGAUCCCUACUUUCUUUGGGGGGCCAGCUCCUCUCUCCACCCUACAGAAGUAGGUGGGCCCUGUAGGAGUUUUCACAUUGUCACAUGCCCUCACUCUCUCAGUUCAGCCAAUUCAGGAGGAGUGGGCUCCUGACCCAAACCUGGCCAAUCAGCUCCUUCUCUGUGGUGGUGGUGGUUGUUGUUUUAAACUGGAACUAGGAGUUCCCAUUGCGGCUCAGAGGAUUAAGAACUCGACAUAGUGUCUAUGAGGACACAGGUGUGAUCCCUGGCCUCACUCAGUGGGUUAAGGAUCCAGUGUUGCUGUGAGCUGCGCUGUAGGCCACAGCUGUGGCUCGGAGCUGGCAUUCCUGAGGCUGUGGCAUAGGCUGGCAGUUGUAGCUCCAAUUUGAUCCCUGGCCCAGGCACUUCCAUAUGCCACAGGUGUGGCCGUAAAAAGAAAAAAGAAAAAGAAAAA
RNAcentral lists this long non-coding RNA (3418 nucleotides) under Sus scrofa (pig). RNAcentral describes it as "lncRNA (ENSSSCG00015040808.1)". The record is from RNAcentral. Lineage: Eukaryota; Metazoa; Chordata; Mammalia; Artiodactyla; Suidae.